GGAGACCAGACGUUGGUGAAAGCGUCUGGUCUCCUUGGGAUCCAUUCUGAGACCAGAGGUGGCAGAGGCUUCCCUGGCUUCUGGAGACGAUCUGUGCCUGGAGGAUCAGGACUCUUCUCUUUUCCCCAAUGGCACAGAAACACAUCCACUCUAGGAUUCACUCCACAGGGCACAAGUUGCAAGUACUGUGGUCAGAGAAGAGCCUGGAGUCAUCUCCCCUACCUCCCCUCCGACAUGCCAAAAGCCAUAGCAAAACCAAAAUGAAGACUCUGAGCAGAAUGCAGCCAGCAGUGCAGUCCCAGAGCUCUGGAGAGAUGGCAAACCAAGCAAAGAAUCCGCGAGGGCCACGGAGGAGGGAGCAAGCGCACCAUGGGAAGAUGCAGGCCAAGCUCCGGCUGAUGCGGUCGAUGCUUCGAAAUCAGCGGACCUCACUCCAGGAGCUCUACAGCCACGAGAGCUUCCUCAGCAAGCUCAACCAGGAGCUGAUCAAGUCCAUCCAGGACAUGGAGGACAGCACGGCCCUGAACGUGCGCGCAAUGCUGCAGCAGCAGGGCAUUCUCUGGAAUGUCAUCGACAUCUUGGAGUACUCAAACAAGAAGCGUGUGGAGCAGCUGAGGUCUGAGCUCCAGGAGUGGAAGGAAAAGGAGGAGAACAAAAUGAACAGCCUGAAGCGGGAGGUUGAACAGCUGCAUGCUGAGAUCCUAAAGGCCCGUGAGGAGGUGAGUUUCCUGAGCACCUACAUGGACCACGAGUAUCCCGUCAGGUCAGUCCAGAUCGCCAAUCACAUACGCCAGGUGCAGCAGGCAAAGGACAGACAGCAGGACGAGCUGGACAACCUUAAGGAGAUGCGUGACAUGGUCCUGGGGGGUUUCUCUGACAUGAUUCAGGAGAAGAAGAAGAAAAUCCUGAGGUCUCUGAUGGUGAAAACCCAGCAACCCUAUGAGGAGGUGCUUAUGCUGAAGAAGCAGGAUAGCCAGCGCCUGCAGAGGUGCACAGUCUGGUUCAGAGAGGGGAUUCCUGCUGGCGUGGACCUUGCCUCGCUGGCCACCAUUGCAGGCCGUGACCCAUUAGCUUCUUCACAUGUCCCCUGCUCUACACUAGCUGCUUCCCUUUACCCUCUGGGCCAAGAUCAGAGUUAUGGGACAAGGCUCCGCCCUCUCCGACUAAUUGAGAAGAUGAAGAAGGAGAUACCCAUACUAACUGCGGAGGUGGGGAAAAUGUAUGCAGAAAUCUGCAAUCCCCGAGACGUCGUUUUUAAGGAUAUUCUACUGCAGAGACCCAAGUAUGUAGUCUAGGCUGCCAUGCUUGGCUGGGCAGGCCCGUUCCUAGGGAAGGCAGUCCGGGUAGAUGGCAAGAGCCUCGGCAUGGAGGGGAGGAACCCUGGGUGUGCCUCCACUCUGCCUCUAACCUAGACACAGCUUUCUCUGUCCAUCUCUGAUGUAGCUGACACAGAUGGUUGGUUCCAGGGAUAUGGGGGACAAGGAGGAUAUCUUUCCUGUUUGAAAGGCUUCUGUGCCCCAAGAAGAGAGUGUCUUUCCUUCCAAAAUUAACCUUCAGGGCCUGCUUUACCUGGGAUUAGACUCAAUUGUAGGGCCAGAUGGUAGUGGGAACAGGCUAGACCUCUUCUUGUGUGGUGGCUGAGCCCAGCAUUUGCAAAUUGCAUAACUUUCCCUUAUGUCUCCCGUCUCUUCCCAGGCCUCUCUCUUUUUUAAAAUAUUUAUUUUAUUUAUUUAUUAUGUAUACAAUAUUCUGUCUGUGUGUAUGCCUGCAGGCCGGAAGAGGGCACCAGACCUCUUUACAGAUGGUUGUGAGCCACCAUGUGGUUGCCGGGAAUUGAACUCAGGACCUUUGGAAAAGCAGGCAAUGCUCUUAACCACUGAGCCAUCUCUCCAGCCCCCUUCCCAGGCCUCUCUUUGUGUCCUACCCCUGCCUACCUCCUACUUGGUGUUUUGAGACUGAGUCUCACUUUGUAGCUUAGGUUGGUUUCGAAUAUGAUUCUCCUGCUCAAGCCUCCCAAAUGCUGGGGUUAUCAUAUGUUUAGAGAAUUUUUUUUUCUGGGAGGAGAUGUCAAGCAACAUCUGCCUCCUAAGGUUUCAAUAACAAACCAAAGUUUGAUUCUACCAUCGUUCCUUCUGAGAAACUGAUGAGUUUGUUGGGCUUAUUUACAGAGUCUGGGUCACAAGGGUCGCUGACAGGAGUGUGUGUGCUUCCAGCAUGGGUGAUGGCUUCCCUUAACUGUGAGGGUGGAAUCUCCCCCCACUUCUACUAUUCUUUCUCAGUCUAUAAAUUCUAGCCUCUCUCUGAGACCCUGAAGCCACAUGUCUGGUUAGGAGGAGCAGUUAGAAGCUCAGGUGCACCCCAGACAUGGCUGUUGAACUCAACAUUCCUGUGCGAGAACCACUCCCCUUCUGACCCACAAUCCCUCCUCCACCCCUCUCCCUUGCUGCUUGAACCAGGCAGAAAUUCCCAGUCCUUGCUGCCAAUAAAGCUGGGUUUGUGUUUG
Molecule: RNA transcript, 2503 nt
Organism: Microtus oregoni (creeping vole)
Lineage: Eukaryota; Metazoa; Chordata; Mammalia; Rodentia; Cricetidae
Gene: CUNH20orf96
Gene name: chromosome unknown C20orf96 homolog
Exons: 12
Source: RefSeq, a predicted model, not a curated record